Molecule: long non-coding RNA, 624 nt
Organism: Lampris incognitus (smalleye Pacific opah)
Lineage: Eukaryota; Metazoa; Chordata; Actinopteri; Lampriformes; Lampridae
Exons: 3
Source: RefSeq, a predicted model, not a curated record
CAGGAAAGGAAGCAGAAGUGCACAUGUUUCAGUAAAGCUAGUUUACUGUAAACAUUUGCCAAAAUAUGACAUGCAUGCCUCAUCUGGCCUUCAUAUCAGUGAGUUAAUUUGUUCCUGACCUCGUGGAUGGAUGAUGAUCCCCCAUCCUAACUAUGGAACUAGGGAACAAGACCCUGUGCAUUGUCUGCAAGGAAUCUGGUGGAAGGGACAUAACUGCUGUCACAGCUCCUAAGCUGCUUCACCAAGUAAAACUGUUUGAGGAAUCCGGACUGAUCACCAAUGAUGCGGAUAUCAAUCUUUCACAGAGACUGUCAGCUGUCAAUGCAGAAACUUUACAGGAUGGAUAUAAAAUCCACAAGAGUUGCUAUGAUCGCUAUAAUAACAGCCAUUUCAAUUGUGCGAAGGAUCGUAAACGGAAAAGAGAACUGGACCUUGCAGAUCACCAGACUAUUGGGGCAAACACACGAGCAAAGGCUGGGCCUAGUCUUGCGUUUGGAGCCGAACUUUGCUUCUAUUGUGAAGAGCCAGCCAUUGAGAACCCUCGGAAGAAGGACAAAUCAGAACCAUUGUUAGCUGCUGCGGGAAAAGAAAAGUCAGCAAAACAUGUGAAGGAUUUCACAGACA